RNAcentral lists this ribosomal RNA (482 nucleotides) under uncultured bacterium. Its description in RNAcentral is "partial 16S ribosomal RNA". It matches the Rfam family "Bacterial small subunit ribosomal RNA", at positions 29 to 523 of the family's 1533-position model. The record is from RNAcentral.
AAUGAACGUUGGCGGCGUGGAUUAGGCAUGCAAGUCGAGCGAGAACCGUAGCAAUACGGGGACAGCGGCGAAAGGGAGAGGAACACGUGGGUACCUACCCUCAGGCUCAGGAUAGCCAUGGGAAACUAUGGGUAAUACUGAAUAAUGUCUUCGGACCAAAGGUGUGAUUCCGUCCGAGGAGGGGCCCGCGUCCUAUUAGCUAGUUGGUGAGGUAACGGCUCACAAAGGCGAAGAUGGGUACGGGAUGUGAGAGCAUAAUCCCGCUCAUUGGGACUGAGACACUGCCCAGACACCUACGGGUGGCUGCAGUCGAGAAUCUUCGGCAAUGGGGGAAACCCUGACCGAGCGACGCCGCGUGCGAGAUGAAGGCCUUCGGGUUGUAAAUCGCUGUCAGUGGGGAGGAAAUGCUGGUGGGUUCUCCCAUCAGUUUGACCUAUCCGCAGAGGAAGGACGGGCUAAGUUCGUGCCAGCAGCCGCAGUAA